UACGUAGGGCGCAAGCGUUGUCCGGAAUUAUUGGGCGUAAAGAGCUCGUAGGCGGCCAGUUGCGUCUGCUGUGAAAUCCCGGGGCUCAACCCCGGGCGUGCAGUGGAUACGGGCUGGCUAGAGGCAGGCAGGGGAGAACGGAAUUCCCGGUGUAGCGGUGAAAUGCGCAGAUAUCGGGAGGAACACCGGUGGCGAAGGCGGUUCUCUGGGCCUGUACUGACGCUGAGGAGCGAAAGCGUGGGAGCGAACAGG
RNAcentral lists this ribosomal RNA (252 nucleotides) under uncultured bacterium. RNAcentral's name for it is "partial 16S ribosomal RNA". It matches the Rfam family "Bacterial small subunit ribosomal RNA", at positions 524 to 776 of the family's 1533-position model. The record is from RNAcentral.